This 473-nucleotide ribosomal RNA is filed under the name uncultured marine eukaryote. Its description in RNAcentral is "SSU rRNA". It matches the Rfam family "Eukaryotic small subunit ribosomal RNA", at positions 613 to 1089 of the family's 1831-position model. The record is from RNAcentral.
UUGCGGUUAAAAAGCUCGUAGUUGGAUUUCUGUUGAGGAUGACCGGUCCGCUCUUUGAGCGCGUAUCUGGCUCAGCCUUGGCAUCCUCUUGGGGAACGCAUUGUGCUUAAUUGUACGGUGUGGGAUUCAAGACUUUUACUUUGAGGAAAUUAGAGUGUUCACUGCAAGCGUUAGCAAUUGAAUACAUUAGCAUGGAAUAAUAAUAUAGGACCUUGGUACUAUUUUGUUGGUUUCUAGAACUAAGGUAAUGAUUAAUAGGGACAGUUGGGGGCAUUCGUAUUAACGUGUCAGAGGUGGAAUUCUUAGAUUACGUUACGACGAACUACUGCGAAAGCAUUUGCCAAGGAUGUUUUCAUUGAUCAAGAACGAAAGUAUGGGGAUCGAAGACGAUUAGAUACCGUCGUAGUCUAUACCAUAAACUAUGCCAACUAGAGAUUGGAGGUCGUUCUCUUUAUGACUCCUUCAGCAAUCUU